RNAcentral lists this ribosomal RNA (253 nucleotides) under uncultured bacterium. Its description in RNAcentral is "partial 16S ribosomal RNA". It matches the Rfam family "Bacterial small subunit ribosomal RNA", at positions 524 to 776 of the family's 1533-position model. The record is from RNAcentral.
UACGUAGGGUGCAAGCGUUAAUCGGAAUUACUGGGCGUAAAGCGUGCGCAGGCGGUUCUAUAAGACAGAUGUGAAAUCCCCGGGCUCAACCUGGGAACUGCAUUUGUGACUGUAGAGCUGGAGUGCGGCAGAGGGGGAUGGAAUUCCGCGUGUAGCAGUGAAAUGCGUAGAUAUGCGGAGGAACACCGAUGGCGAAGGCAAUCCCCUGGGCCUGCACUGACGCUCAUGCACGAAAGCGUGGGGAGCGAACAGG